GUUGAAGAACGUAGUGAAAUGCGAUAAGUAAUGUGAAUUGCAGAAUUCAGUGAAUCAUCGAAUCUUUGAACGCACAUUGCGCCCCUUGGUAUUCCGAGGGGCAUGCCUGUUCGAGCGUCAUUAUAACCCCUCAAGCUCGGCUUGGUGUUGGGGCCUGCCGCACGGGCAGCCCUUAAAAUCAGUGGCGGUGCCAUCUGGCUCUAAGCGUAGUAAUUCUUCUCGCUAUAGAGUCCCGGUGGAUGCUUGCCAUUAACCCCCAAUUUCAAUGGUUGACCUCGGAUCAGGUAGGGAUACCCGCUGAACUUAAGCAUAUCAAUAAGCGGAGGA
RNAcentral lists this unclassified non-coding RNA (327 nucleotides) under soil metagenome. RNAcentral's name for it is "partial contains 5.8S ribosomal RNA, internal transcribed spacer 2, and large subunit ribosomal RNA". The stretch from base 1 to 120 matches the Rfam family "5.8S ribosomal RNA", at positions 35 to 154 of the family's 154-position model. The record is from RNAcentral.